RNAcentral lists this ribosomal RNA (404 nucleotides) under Apostichopus parvimensis. RNAcentral describes it as "partial 12S ribosomal RNA". Lineage: Eukaryota; Metazoa; Echinodermata; Holothuroidea; Aspidochirotida; Stichopodidae. The record is from RNAcentral.
UUGAGGAGGGUGACGGGCGGUGUGUGCGCAUUCUAGAGCUGAUUUCAUAAUGUUUCUCUUUACUUUUAUUACUAUCGAAUCCUCUUUCAUUAACUUUUUCAAUGCUAAAUUCUCGGUUUGGAAAAAAAGUAGCUCAUCUAUUCCCACUCUAUAAGCUGCACCUUGAUCUGACGUUGAGGAAAAUUCCUUUUUGCUCACUUUCUUAAAGAGGUGAACUGACGACGAUGGUAUACAAGCUGAAUUUAUCUUUGAGUGGUGAGGUUCCUCGUGGGUUAUCGAUUCAAUGACAAGCUCCUCCGAAAAGGGGUAGAAAACCGCCAAGUUCUUUAAGUUUUAGCCUUUAGCCGUACUACUCUGGUGUUUGAGGAUUUACUAGUAAGUAUAGUGGGGUAUCUAAUCCCAGA